UGGGGAAUAUUGGACAAUGGGGGCAACCCUGAUCCAGCAAUGCCGCGUGUGUGAAGAAGGUCUUCGGAUUGUAGAGCACUUUCGACGGGGACGAUGAUGACGGUACCCGUAGAAGAAGCCCCGGCUAACUUCGUGCCAGCAGCCGCGGUAAUACGAAGGGGGCUAGCGUUGCUCGGAAUGACUGGGCGUAAAGGGCGUGUAGGCGGUUUACACAGUCAGAUGUGAAAUCCCCGGGCUUAACCUGGGAGCUGCAUUUGAUACGUGUAGACUAGAGUGUGAGAGAGGGUUGUGGAAUUCCCAGUGUAGAGGUGAAAUUCGUAGAUAUUGGGAAGAACACCGGUGGCGAAGGCGGCAACCUGGCUCAUGACUGACGCUGAGGCGCGAAAGUGUGGGGAGCAAACAGGAUUAGAUACCCUGGUAGUCCACGCUGUAAACGAUGUGUGCUAGAUGUUGGGU
RNAcentral lists this ribosomal RNA (456 nucleotides) under uncultured bacterium. RNAcentral describes it as "partial 16S ribosomal RNA". It matches the Rfam family "Bacterial small subunit ribosomal RNA", at positions 355 to 828 of the family's 1533-position model. The record is from RNAcentral.